This 255-nucleotide ribosomal RNA is filed under the name uncultured bacterium. RNAcentral's name for it is "partial 16S ribosomal RNA". It matches the Rfam family "Bacterial small subunit ribosomal RNA", at positions 1246 to 1500 of the family's 1533-position model. The record is from RNAcentral.
AAAGCGAAGCGGUGACGUGGAGCAAACCUCAGAAAGCCAAUCUCAGUUCGGAUUGUAGGCUGCAACUCGCCUACAUGAAGUUGGAAUCGCUAGUAAUCGCGAAUCAGAAUGUCGCGGUGAAUACGUUCCCGGGUCUUGUACACACCGCCCGUCACACCACGAGAGUUUACAACACCCGAAGUCAGUGGCCUAACCGCAAGGAGGGAGCUGCCUAAGGUGGGGUAGAUGAUUGGGGUGAAGUCGUAACAAGGUAUC